GUUGGGGUAUUUUAAAAAAAAAGUAAAGCUUGCACCUUUAAAUUGGGUAUGGUUCCCCCCCAGCU
Molecule: transfer RNA, 65 nt
Filed under: Tridacna derasa
Lineage: Eukaryota; Metazoa; Mollusca; Bivalvia; Cardiida; Cardiidae
Description: tRNA-Ala
Source: RNAcentral